RNAcentral lists this long non-coding RNA (436 nucleotides) under Elaeis guineensis (African oil palm). RNAcentral describes it as "long non-coding RNA (EGUI_LNC045967)". Lineage: Eukaryota; Viridiplantae; Streptophyta; Magnoliopsida; Arecales; Arecaceae. The record is from RNAcentral.
ACCUGGCCUCUUGGUCAAAUUAUAUUUUGAUCGGAUCACUUGACUAUUCGAGCUGACCCAUGUCAGCUAGAUAAAUCAGUGUGACUGAUUUAGGUGCUCCUAGACCAGCCCUUUUAAUGAUCUCCCUUAAGCUGACUUGGUGAAGCCAGUGAGAGGAUCAUGAUAAGCUGGUUCAUCUGACCUCAUCCUCUAAAUCAUUUAAAUCCUCUAAAAUUAUUAGGUCCUUAAAAUGAUAAAGUUAUGGAGAUAACUGAGUCAUAGCCUCUCAUUAAGGUGUUUGAUAAUGAGUCCAUUAACUCAAUAAUCAUUGCAGACCCAAAGGCCUGGUGCUUGUUGACUAAUGAAAUUAUCACUCAUCAUAUGACGACUUGGAAGUGUCUCUCUAAUGGUGGUUAGGUGAGCCAACCAAAGUUGGGCUUAAUCAUUCAUUGGUUAG